UUUUUAUAAAAUUCCUUCAAAUUGACUAUGCUGACUUGAGUCACGGAAUUGAACUAGAUUCAGCUUUCCAUGGUGAAAAGAUUCGUAAAUACCGGUCAUUA
This 101-nucleotide ribosomal RNA is filed under the name Eimeria brunetti. RNAcentral's name for it is "large subunit ribosomal RNA". Lineage: Eukaryota; Apicomplexa; Conoidasida; Eucoccidiorida; Eimeriidae. The record is from RNAcentral.